RNAcentral lists this ribosomal RNA (465 nucleotides) under Vreelandella stevensii. RNAcentral's name for it is "partial 16S ribosomal RNA". It matches the Rfam family "Bacterial small subunit ribosomal RNA", at positions 338 to 795 of the family's 1533-position model. Lineage: Bacteria; Pseudomonadati; Pseudomonadota; Gammaproteobacteria; Oceanospirillales; Halomonadaceae. The record is from RNAcentral.
CCUACGGGCGGCUGCAGUGGGGAAUAUUGGACAAUGGGGGCAACCCUGAUCCAGCCAUGCCGCGUGUGUGAAGAAGGCCCUCGGGUUGUAAAGCACUUUCAGUGAGGAAGAACGCCUGGUGGUUAAUACCCAUCAGGAAAGACAUCACUCACAGAAGAAGCACCGGCUAACUCCGUGCCAGCAGCCGCGGUAAUACGGAGGGUGCGAGCGUUAAUCGGAAUUACUGGGCGUAAAGCGCGCGUAGGUGGCUUGAUAAGCCGGUUGUGAAAGCCCCGGGCUCAACCUGGGAACGGCAUCCGGAACUGUCAAGCUAGAGUGCAGGAGAGGAAGGUAGAAUUCCCGGUGUAGCGGUGAAAUGCGUAGAGAUCGGGAGGAAUACCAGUGGCGAAGGCGGCCUUCUGGACUGACACUGACGCUGAGGUGCGAAAGCGUGGGUAGCAAACAGGAUUAGAUACCCCUGUAGUC